GCGAGAGUGGCGAAAUUGGUAGACGCACUGGAUUUAGGUUCCAGCGCCGCAAGGCGUGGGGGUUCGAGUCCCUUCUCUCGCACCA
This 85-nucleotide transfer RNA is filed under the name Rhodocyclus purpureus. RNAcentral describes it as "tRNA-Leu". It matches the Rfam family "tRNA". Rfam says of the family: Transfer RNA (tRNA) molecules are approximately 80 nucleotides in length. Their secondary structure includes four short double-helical elements and three loops (D, anti-codon, and T loops). Lineage: Bacteria; Pseudomonadati; Pseudomonadota; Betaproteobacteria; Rhodocyclales; Rhodocyclaceae. The record is from RNAcentral. RNAcentral also lists the same sequence under 3 other names.